Cyanistes caeruleus (blue tit) is the source of this 2145-nucleotide long non-coding RNA. The record is from Ensembl. Lineage: Eukaryota; Metazoa; Chordata; Aves; Passeriformes; Paridae.
GGGCGGGUCCUGCGCAGCCGCUCCUGGAGCCGCGGCCCCGCCCCCCCCGGAGCCCCGAAUUCCUGCAGGAGGCGCCGGGUCCGGUUCCGGUCCCAGUCCCGGUUCUGGCUCCAGUUCAGAUCCCGGUGCCGCUCCUGGGAACAAAUCGGAGCCCGGUUCCGGUCCCGGUUCCGGUUCUGAUCCCGGUCCCGAUCCCGGUUCUGGUCCCGAUCCCGGUUCCGAUCCCGGUUCCGGUCCCGGUUCCGGUUCUGAUCCCGGUUCCGGUCCCGGUUCCGGUUAUGAUCCCGGUCCCGGUUCCGGUCCCGGUUCCGGUUCUGAUCCCGGUUCCGGUCCCGGUUCCGGUCCCGGUUCCGGUUCUGAUCCCGGUUCUGAUCCCGAUCCCGGUUCUGAUCCCGGUCCCGGUUCCGGUCCCGGUUCUGAUCCCGGUUCUGGUCCCGAUCCCGGUUCUGGUUCUGAUCCCGGUUCUGGUCCCGGUUCUGGUUCUGAUCCCGGUUCCGAUCCCGGUUCUGAUCUCGAUCCCGGUUCCGGUUCCAGUUCUGGUCCCGAUCCCAAUCCCGAUCCAGAUCCCAAUUCUGGUUCCCAUCCCAGUCCCGAUCCCGGUUCUGGUCCCGGUUCCGAUCCCGGUUCUGGUCCCGGUUCCGAUCCCGUUCCCAAUCCCAGUUCCGAUCCCAAUCCCGGUCCCGGUUCUGGUUCUGAUCCCGGUUCUGGUUCCGAUCCCAGUCCCGAACCCGCUCCCAGUCCCGAUCCCGGUCCCGGUUCUGGUUCCGGUCCCGUUCCCAAUCCCAGUCCCGGUUCUGAUCCCGAACCCGGUCCCAAUCCCAGUUCCGUUCCCAAUCCUGUUCCCGGUUCUGGUUCUGAUCCCGUUCCGAUCCCAAUCCCAAUCCCGAUCCAAAUCCGGUUCCGAUCCCGUUCCCAAUCCCGGUCCCGGUUCCGAUCCCGAUCCCGGUUCUGGUUCUGAUCCCGGUUCUGGUUCCGGUCCCGUUCCCAAUCCCGGUCCCGGUCCCGGUUCCGAUCCCAUUCCCGAACCUGGUCCCGCUCCGGUUCCUGGUCCCGCUUCCGGUCCCGCUCCAGUUCCCGGUUCUGGUCCCGCUCCANNNNNNNNNNNNNNNNNNNNCGGACCCCCCCUGGUAAUUAAUGAGCCUUAAUUAGCGCUAAUUAACGGGAAAUUAACGGGGUACGGGGCACUAAUGGGGUGUCGGUAAUUAACGGUAAUUAGCGCUAAUUAACGGGGAAAUUAACGGGGUACGGGGCACUAAUGGGGUGUUGGUAAUUAGCGGUAAUUAGCGCUAAUUAACGGGGAAAUUAACGGGGUACGGGGCUAAUGGAGUGUCGGUAAUUAGCGUUAAUUAGCGCUAAUUAACGGCGGGAUUAACGGGGUACGGGGCUGUAAUGGGGUGUCGGUAAUUAACGGGAAUAUUGGCAAUUAAUGGGGUAAUUAAUGGGAAUAUCAGUAAUUAAUGCGGUAAUUAACAAGGUUACAGGUUCUUGAUGGGAAUAUGAAUAAUUAAUAAUAAUUAUUAAAUUUAAUAAUUAAAGGGUUAUCAACAAUUAGUGGGAUAUUGGCAAUUAGAGGGAUAAUUAACGAGAUAAUUAACGAUAUAUCGAUAAUUAAUGGGAUCCACAAUGGGAUAAUUAAAGGGAUAUCGGUAAUUAAUGAGAAUAACGGUAACUAACAGGGUAAUUAACGGGGAUACAGAUUAUUAAUGGGAAUAUCCGUAAUUAUUGGAAUAAUUAAUGGGAUACCCAUAAUUAACGGGAUAAUUAAUGGGAACACAGAUCAUUAAUGGGAUUAUCGCUAAUUAAUGGGGCUAAUGAGAGAGAUAUUGGUAAUUAAUGCGGAUAUCGGCAAUUAAGAGAGUUAUUAAUGGGAAUAUAGAUAAUUAAUGGGAAUAUUGGUAAUUAAUGGGAAUAUCGGUAAUUAAUGGGGUAAUUAGUAAGCUAUCGGCAAUUAAUGCGAUAUCCAUAAUUAGUGGGAUAUCGGAAAUUAAUGAGAUGUCGGUAAUUAACACCUUAAUUAAUGGGAUAUCAGUAAUUAAUGGGAUAUCGGCAAUUAAUGGGAAUAUCGGUAAUUAACGGGACAUUGGCAAUUAGUGGGGUGUGGGUAAUUAGCAGAGUAGCGAUAAUUAAUGGGGAUAUCAGUAAUUA